UCCUCGAGGACUGUUCAGCCCUGCGCAGGGACUGGCUCUCCCGCAGCCAUUUUCUGUCCAACCAAACGGCCGAACUGAGACGCGAACCAACCAGGGCUUCAUCGCAGAUGGACGGAGACAGUUCAACCACAGAUGCCUCCCAGCUUGGCAUAACAGGAGAAUAUAUGGCUGGUAGUCACUUUGUUCUCCAAACUCAGGAUGAUGAAGGUGAUGAGGGACUCAACGACCACGAGGAUGGGAAUGGAAGCAAAGAUAACCUACGGGAGCAAGACAUUUAUCUCCCAAUCGCUAACGUUGCCCGAAUCAUGAAGAAUGGAAUACCGCAAACA
Non-coding RNA from Pimephales promelas (fathead minnow), 329 nucleotides. NCBI's taxonomy places the organism in Eukaryota, Metazoa, Chordata, Actinopteri, Cypriniformes, Leuciscidae. The record is from RefSeq and is a predicted model, not a curated record.